UACGGAGGGUGCAAGCGUUAUCCGGAUUCACUGGGUUUAAAGGGUGCGUAGGAGGGCAGGUAAGUCAGUGGUGAAAUCCCCGAGCUUAACUUGGGAACUGCCGUUGAUACUAUCUGUCUUGAAUAUUGUGGAGGUGAGCGGAAUAUGUCAUGUAGCGGUGAAAUGCUUAGAUAUGACAUAGAACACCAAUUGCGAAGGCAGCUCGCUACACAUAUAUUGACUCUGAGGCACGAAAGCGUGGGGAUCAAACAGGA
Molecule: ribosomal RNA, 254 nt
Filed under: uncultured prokaryote
Description: partial 16S ribosomal RNA
Rfam family: Bacterial small subunit ribosomal RNA
Source: RNAcentral